RNAcentral lists this ribosomal RNA (460 nucleotides) under uncultured bacterium. RNAcentral describes it as "partial 16S ribosomal RNA". It matches the Rfam family "Bacterial small subunit ribosomal RNA", at positions 338 to 795 of the family's 1533-position model. The record is from RNAcentral.
CCUACGGGUGGCAGCAGUGAGGAAUAUUGGUCAAUGGGCGGGAGCCUGAACCAGCCAAGUCGCGUGAGGGAAUACGGUCCUAUGGAUUGUAAACCUCUUUAUGCGGGGAGCAAUGCCGGGCACGCGUGCCCGUAGGGAGAGUACCCGCAGAAUCAGCCUCGGCUAACUCCGUGCCAGCAGCCGCGGUAAUACGGGGGAUGCGAGCGUUAUCCGCAUUUAUUGGGUUUAAAGGGUGCGCAGGCGGAAUGUCAAGUCAGCGGUAAAAUUUCGGGGCUAAACCCCGUCGUGCCGUUGAAACUGGCGUUCUUGAGUGAGCGAGAAGUAUGCGGAAUGCGUGGUGUAGCGGUGAAAUGCAUAGAUAUCACGCAGAACUCCGAGUGCGAAGGCAGCAUACCGGCGCUCAACUGACGCUCAUGCACGAAAGCGUGGGUAUCGAACAGGAUUAGAUACCCCUGUAGUC